Molecule: ribosomal RNA, 485 nt
Filed under: uncultured bacterium
Lineage: Bacteria
Description: bacterial SSU rRNA
Rfam family: Bacterial small subunit ribosomal RNA
Source: RNAcentral
CGUGCCUAAUACAUGCAAGUCGAGCGGAACGAUGAAGAAGCUUGCUUCUUCUGAUUUUAGCGGCGGACGGGUGAGUAACACGUGGGCAACCUACCUUGUAGAUUGGGAUAACUCCGGGAAACCGGGGCUAAUACCGAAUAAUCCAUUUUGCUUCAUGGCGAGAUGUUGAAAGACGGUUUCGGCUGUCACUACAAGAUGGGCCCGCGGCGCAUUAGCUAGUUGGUAGGGUAAUGGCCUACCAAGGCGACGAUGCGUAGCCGACCUGAGAGGGUGAUCGGCCACACUGGGACUGAGACACGGCCCAGACUCCUACGGGAGGCAGCAGUAGGGAAUCUUCCACAAUGGACGAAAGUCUGAUGGAGCAACGCCGCGUGAGUGAAGAAGGUUUUCGGAUCGUAAAACUCUGUUGUAAGGGAAGAACACGUACGAGAGUAACUGCUCGUACCUUGACGGUACCUUAUUAGAAAGCCACGGCUAACUACGUG